GGAGAUGUAUCGAAGUGGCCAUAACGAGAACGACUCGAAAUCGUUUUGUCGGGUAACCGGCACGUGGGUUCGAAUCCCACCGUCUCCG
This 88-nucleotide transfer RNA is filed under the name Mobilisporobacter senegalensis. It matches the Rfam family "tRNA". Rfam says of the family: Transfer RNA (tRNA) molecules are approximately 80 nucleotides in length. Their secondary structure includes four short double-helical elements and three loops (D, anti-codon, and T loops). Further hydrogen bonds mediate the characteristic L-shaped molecular structure. tRNAs have two regions of fundamental functional importance: the anti-codon, which is responsible for specific mRNA codon recognition, and the 3' end, to which the tRNAs corresponding amino acid is attached (by aminoacyl-tRNA synthetases). tRNAs cope with the degeneracy of the genetic code in two manners: having more than one tRNA (with a specific anti-codon) for a particular amino acid; and 'wobble' base-pairing, i.e. permitting non-standard base-pairing at the 3rd anti-codon position. The record is from Rfam by way of RNAcentral. Lineage: Bacteria; Bacillati; Bacillota; Clostridia; Lachnospirales; Lachnospiraceae.